CCGUGGCUCAGUCGGUAGAGCAGCUGAUUCGUAAUCAGCAGGUCGCCGGUUCGAAUCCGGCCGG
RNAcentral lists this transfer RNA (64 nucleotides) under human gut metagenome. It matches the Rfam family "tRNA", at positions 5 to 66 of the family's 71-position model. Rfam says of the family: Transfer RNA (tRNA) molecules are approximately 80 nucleotides in length. Their secondary structure includes four short double-helical elements and three loops (D, anti-codon, and T loops). The record is from RNAcentral.